AACGAACGCUGGCGGCAUGCCUAACACAUGCAAGUCGAACGAGACCUUCGGGUCUAGUGGCGCACGGGUGCGUAACGCGUGGGAACCUGCCCUUAGGUUCGGAAUAACUCCCCGAAAGGGGUGCUAAUACCGGAUAAUGUCUUCGGACCAAAGAUUUAUCGCCUUUGGAUGGGCCCGCGUUGGAUUAGCUAGUUGGUAGGGUAAAAGCCUACCAAGGCGACGAUCCAUAGCUGGUCUGAGAGGAUGAUCAGCCACACUGGGACUGAGACACGGCCCAGACCCCUAGGGGGGGCAGGAGGGGGGAAUAUUGGAAAAGGGGCGAAAGCCUGAUCCAGCAAGGCCGGGGGGGGAAAGAAGGCCUUGGGGUUGUAAAGCCUUUUUACCCGGGAGGAUAAUGACAGUACCGGGAGAAAAAGCCCCGGUUAACUCCGU
Molecule: ribosomal RNA, 432 nt
Filed under: uncultured bacterium
Lineage: Bacteria
Description: partial 16S ribosomal RNA
Rfam family: Bacterial small subunit ribosomal RNA
Source: RNAcentral